Molecule: long non-coding RNA, 1242 nt
Organism: Empidonax traillii (willow flycatcher)
Lineage: Eukaryota; Metazoa; Chordata; Aves; Passeriformes; Tyrannidae
Exons: 3
Source: RefSeq, a predicted model, not a curated record
GUCGGGCUGCUGUCCUUGGCAUGUUUCCAGCACUAGAGGUUUUUUUAAAGAAAAACCUAUCAGCUAAAUGUUCUUUCGGGAGGCAUAGAGAGGCCACCCCAGCUGUCUGCCAUGGCCAUGCCUGUGUCACUAUGCCCAAGCGUGAUCAGCAUGAAGCUGAAGAGGCACUAUUUCGCUCCUCUUUUCUUCAAGUCCCAGAGUCUUUACCUUUUCCCAGUACUGGACUGAUAAAUGUAAACACAACGUGUCCCUGCAGCUUCUCUGUCUGCAGAUGCAGUGCGUGUACUGGCAGCAGCAUUGUCUGUCUUCAUUUCCCCCUGUGAGUUCUGGUUGGGCUGUGACAUUCAAUGUCGAGCAGGAGGCCUGAGGCACUGCUCCUGCCACUGAGUCUUCAGAAGCAUCGCUUUGCUUUCACAUGAGAAGGGAGAGGGAAGGUGUGGGUUUACUUGUGAUUCAAGUCUGAAAAGAUAAAAUGAAAAUGGUGGAAUUUGGAUCAUAAACACCCUGGAGAAAGUUUGUGAAAUGGCUUCUCCGAUGAGAACUUAAAAUGUGCUAAAGCAGAGGCAGCCACAGAUUUUGCACAGCUUUAUCCUGCAGCAACUAGUACAGCAAGGGCAGCCUGUACGCUCUCAUGCCAGAACCUGUGACCUGAGGAACGAGCUGAGCUGCUCUGGCUGUUGUUUUAUGGCUUCAGUCCUCCACAAGCACAGGAAUUUAGAAGAAUUUGGAGAAGGCACAGUGACAAGAGGAGCUGUGAAGAGCUUUAGCUGACUUUGGGACUGCUGCCAGACUCCUGAACAAUUCUGAACACAUUCUUAAGUGUUCAUUUUAAGGACAGAGAGAGCAGGGGAAAUGACCAUUUUAAAUAAUAAAAAAAAUUGGUGAUAUCUUCCUUACUUUUAUAAACAACUCACAUGUGAGUGGUUUUGGAGUCUGCCUGUGCUCUGAAUUUGAAUGUGUCUGUGGCAGUGGGACUGCUGUUCCCUCCUUGCUGCAGCGACACAAGGACUCUGCAACAGUGCUCUGCUUGUGCUCUGCAGUGACAGCCUUGAGUUACUGAUAGGGGAAUGCUGGAUUAAAUGAACUGAAAACCUAAACAAGGGUUCAGGCCUUGGUUGUCUCCUCUUGAGCACUUGACCACAACCUGAGCAGGCAGCGCAUCCAAGAGCAGGCACCUGGGACGGGUGCUGCUGAAGGGAGGACGUGGCCCCUCUGAGUGUGGGCUCGAGCUGCCUGCCAGAU